RNAcentral lists this small nuclear RNA (119 nucleotides) under Tetrapisispora phaffii CBS 4417. RNAcentral describes it as "U5 spliceosomal RNA". It matches the Rfam family "U5 spliceosomal RNA". Rfam says of the family: U5 RNA is a component of both types of known spliceosome. The precise function of this molecule is unknown, though it is known that the 5' loop is required for splice site selection and p220 binding, and that both the 3' stem-loop and the Sm site are important for Sm protein binding and cap methylation. Lineage: Eukaryota; Fungi; Ascomycota; Saccharomycetes; Saccharomycetales; Saccharomycetaceae. The record is from Rfam by way of RNAcentral.
AUUUAUUAAAAUAUAACUUAUAUCGAACAUGGUUCUUGCCUUUUACCAGAGCCAUCCGGGUAUUGUCUUUCUUUUACAGGUAAUGCUGGUCACUACUAUAUCCUAAAUAUUUUUUGGAA